Non-coding RNA from Neoarius graeffei (lesser salmon catfish), 763 nucleotides. NCBI's taxonomy places the organism in Eukaryota, Metazoa, Chordata, Actinopteri, Siluriformes, Ariidae. The record is from the annotation of a RefSeq genome assembly.
GACUGGCCUGUGGUAUUAGUACUGACUGAAGGAGUAAAUUUCUCUCAUGUUGGCGUGUGACAUUUACUAUUAAUCUGGCUGAGCAGAGGUGUGUGUGUGUGUGUGAGAGAGAGAGAGGAAGGGAUGGGUGAUGUUCGUGUGCCCAUGUGUAUGAUGUGGCUCUUUGCGGUAAUACAGUAAAAAAUGUGGCUCUUGGUCUCCAACUGGUUGGCCACCCCUGUUCUAGUUAUUUCAAUAGAGGGCAGUAAAGAGAAAUGAAACUGUAUAAACAGUGUUGAUUGUCAUUCUGAUGCACACUAAUGACAGAGUGGAAGCCUGGAGAACACUUGACAAGAUGGCUAAAAUUAUUGUCUCAAGUAUAAUUCUGAUCAGUCUUAAAGCUGCAGUUAUCUCUUCCCUCAACAUCCAGCAAACACCACAGCAUCUACUAAUGACACCUAAACAGAGUGAAGCAAAGCUCAAGUGCCGACAUGGUGAUACCAACUAUAACUACAUGUACUGGUAUCAACAAAAGACAGUCGGUGACUCCAUGGAGCUCAUUGGGAUGCUCCAGUAUGAAAAAUCCACUCCUGAGGAAAAGUUUAAAGCACGAUUCAACAUUACAGGACACUCUAAAGGAGAUGCGUUUCUGCUCAUAUCCAGUUUAACUCCUGAGGACAGUGCAGUAUAUUUCUGUGCUGCUAGUAUCACAGCCACACACCUUCCCUUUCUGUUUAACAAAAAGCUUCACACCAAACACCUGCAAAUAAGAUCUGUUCUCUGA